GACAGGUAGUGCAUGGUUGUCGUCAGCUCGUGUCGUGAAAUAUAAAUUAAAUCCCGCAACGAGCACAACCCUCGCCUCUAGUUGCCAGCAUUCGGUUGGGCACUCUAGAGGGACUGCCGGCGACAAGUCGGAGGAAGGUGGGAUGACGUCAAAUCAUCAUGCCCCUUAUGACCUGGGCUACACACGUGCUACAAUGGGCGGUACAAAGGGCUGCGAACCCGCGAGGGGGAGCGAAUCCCAAAAAGCCGCUCUCAGCUCGGAUUGCAGGCUGCAACUCGCCUGCAUGAAGCCGGAAUCGCUAGUAAUCGCGGAUCAGCAUGCCCGCGGUCCGAAUACGUUCCCGGGCCUU
RNAcentral lists this ribosomal RNA (349 nucleotides) under uncultured Geobacillus sp. Its description in RNAcentral is "bacterial SSU rRNA". It matches the Rfam family "Bacterial small subunit ribosomal RNA", at positions 1033 to 1382 of the family's 1533-position model. Lineage: Bacteria; Bacillati; Bacillota; Bacilli; Caryophanales; Anoxybacillaceae. The record is from RNAcentral.